AGUACACCAUCCUCGUCCUCCGAGCAGGAGAGUAUAACAUCUGAUGCCGCCCUGCCGGAGAGUACACCACCUGCGUCCUCCAAGCAGGAGAGUAUAACACCUGACGCUGCCCUGCCAGAGAG
This is a long non-coding RNA of Pseudophryne corroboree (corroboree frog), 122 nucleotides long. RefSeq lists it as uncharacterized. Lineage: Eukaryota; Metazoa; Chordata; Amphibia; Anura; Myobatrachidae. The record is from RefSeq and is a predicted model, not a curated record. The transcript has 4 exons.